Molecule: ribosomal RNA, 497 nt
Filed under: uncultured bacterium
Lineage: Bacteria
Description: partial 16S ribosomal RNA
Rfam family: Bacterial small subunit ribosomal RNA
Source: RNAcentral
GAUGAACGCUGGCGGCGUGCCUAAUACAUGCGAGUCGAGCGAACAGACGAGGAGCUUGCUCCUCUGACGUUAGCGGCGGACGGGUGAGUAACACGUAGAUAACCUACCUAUAAGACUGGGAUAACUUCGGGAAACCGGAGCUAAUACCGGAUAAUAUAUUGAACCGCAUGGUUCAAUAGUGAAAGACGGUUUUGCUGUCACUUAUAGAUGGAUCCGCGCCGCAUUAGCUAGUUGGUAAGGUAACGGCUUACCAAGGCAACGAUGCGUAGCCGACCUGAGAGGGUGAUCGGCCACACUGGAACUGAGACACGGUCCAGACUCCUACGGGAGGCAGCAGUAGGGAAUCUUCCGCAAUGGGCGAAAGCCUGACGGAGCAACGCCGCGUGAGUGAUGAAGGUCUUCGGAUCGUAAAACUCUGUUAUUAGGGAAGAACAAAUGUGUAAGUAACUAUGCACGUCUUGACGGUACCUAAUCAGAAAGCCACGGCUAACUACGUG